RNAcentral lists this RNase MRP RNA (647 nucleotides) under Capronia coronata CBS 617.96. RNAcentral's name for it is "RNase MRP". It matches the Rfam family "RNase MRP". Rfam says of the family: RNase MRP is an enzymatically active ribonucleoprotein with two distinct roles in eukaryotes. In mitochondria it plays a direct role in the initiation of mitochondrial DNA replication. Lineage: Eukaryota; Fungi; Ascomycota; Eurotiomycetes; Chaetothyriales; Herpotrichiellaceae. The record is from Rfam by way of RNAcentral.
UCCGCGUUCAAAGGAUCGCAUUUCAAAGCUUACGCACAUCAGAGGACAGCUUCUGUCUUCUGCACACCCUCGAUGCUUUCUCUUCUCUGAUGGAGAGAAAGCCAGCUUUGGGAGAAAGUCCCCGGACCACCCUACCCUUGAGACGAGAGUCUCGAGGAACGUUAGGACCUGCCGAAAGGCGCCGCCAUAAAAGCAUUUUCACUGCGGCUCUCAAUUCUUUUCUCUGCCUCCCGCUCUCCUCCACAGACCCUAUCCUGCCGCACUCCGACCUCAUCGUCGCCUGUACUCCGUGCAGGUCCCCGAUCUGUUGUCCCAUGCUCGAAAGCCGAUGGGCGUCUGGAUGGAUGAAGAUACGAGUCCGUCCCUCGGGUUUCGGCUAGACGCUCUGACGUGGAUGGCUGGGACUUGGUCGUGGCGAUCUGCCGGAAGAGAGGGUGAGGGUUUUGACACUGGGAGUCGGGUUCAGGGUAGUGCGUCUUGGAGGGUCCAAGAGUCGAAUCUAUCUGGAGGUUGCGCAAUUCGUCACAUGCACAUAGUUAUGCGAUUGCUCGCGCCCGCGCACUUUCUGCUUCCUUGCUUCGGUGGGGAAGGAGAAGCUGCUGCUGCUGCUGCCGAGUAACUCGACGGGGCUUAUUCUUGAGGCGCGG